This 191-nucleotide ribosomal RNA is filed under the name uncultured bacterium. Its description in RNAcentral is "partial 16S ribosomal RNA". It matches the Rfam family "Bacterial small subunit ribosomal RNA", at positions 340 to 523 of the family's 1533-position model. The record is from RNAcentral.
UACGGGAGGCAGCAGUGGGGAAUAUUGGACAAUGGGCGCAAGCCUGAUCCAGCCAUACCGCGUGGGUGAAGAAGGCCUUCGGGUUGUAAAGCCCUUUUGUUGGGAAAGAAAUCCAGCUGGCUAAUACCCGGUUGGGAUGACGGUACCCAAAGAAUAAGCACCGGCUAACUUCGUGCCAGCAGCCGCGGUAA